Molecule: non-coding RNA, 169 nt
Organism: Ixodes scapularis (black-legged tick)
Lineage: Eukaryota; Metazoa; Arthropoda; Arachnida; Ixodida; Ixodidae
Source: Rfam
UAAAACAAAGCAUUGCGAUGGCCGCUGGUCGGUGUUGACGCAAUGUGAUUUCUGCUCAGUGCUCAGAAUGUCAUCGUGAAGAGAUUCAUCAAAGCGCGGGUAAACGGCGGGAGUAACUAUGACUCUCUUUGGGACGUAAGCCUGCGGGGUGUAAUGCCCUGCUCGAAGU